CAGAAAUAAUACAGCUGCUAAGAAAUACAGCCAUCCCGGGCUCUAGGCAUCAAAGCUUCUAACCCAGUGCAGUGUACACAUAUAGGUUCUGUUUUUGCCCUCGGACAUGAAGCUGCUUCCCUGACUUGUAGAGACCUACCUGGAAAAAUACCAAGAGGCAAAGCCAUCAUGCAGUAAAUAUCCACGUGCCCUCCAGUAAGCCACCUCCCACCAGAUAAUCC
RNAcentral lists this long non-coding RNA (221 nucleotides) under Fukomys damarensis (Damara mole-rat). RNAcentral describes it as "lncRNA (ENSFDAG00000024285.1)". Lineage: Eukaryota; Metazoa; Chordata; Mammalia; Rodentia; Bathyergidae. The record is from RNAcentral.